ACACUCCUGCGGGAGGCAGCAGUGGGGAAUAUUGCACAAUGGGCGCAAGCCUGAUGCAGCCAUGCCGCGUGUAUGAAGAAGGCCUUCGGGUUGUAAAGUACUUUCAGCGGGGAGGAAGGCAAUACGGUUAAUAACCGUGUUGAUUGACGUUACCCGCAGAAGAAGCACCGGCUAACUCCGUGCCAGCAGCCGCGGUAAUACGGAGGGUGCAAGCGUUAAUCGGAAUUACUGGGCGUAAAGCGCACGCAGGCGGUCUGUCAAGUCGGAUGUGAAAUCCCCGGGCUCAACCUGGGAACUGCAUUCGAAACUGGCAGGCUUGAGUCUUGUAGAGGGGGGUAGAAUUCCAGGUGUAGCGGUGAAAUGCGUAGAGAUCUGGAGGAAUACCGGUGGCGAAGGCGGCCCCCUGGACAAAGACUGACGCUCAGGUGCGAAAGCGUGAGGAGCAAACAGGAUUAGAAACCCUAGUAGUCCCAUGA
Molecule: ribosomal RNA, 476 nt
Filed under: uncultured organism
Description: partial 16S ribosomal RNA
Rfam family: Bacterial small subunit ribosomal RNA
Source: RNAcentral